AAUGAACGCUGGCGGCGCGCCUAAUACAUGCAAGUCGAGCGAGAAGACGUAGCAAUACGUUUGUAAAGCGGCGAACGGGUGAGGAAUACAUGGGUAACCUACCCUAGAGUGGGGAAUAACUAGCCGAAAGGUUAGCUAAUACCGCGUACGCUCCUUGGACUUCGGUUCAGGGAGGAAAGCGAUGCCGAGGGUAUCGCGCUCUUGGAUGGGCUCAUGUCCUAUCAGCUUGUUGGUGAGGUGACGGCUCACCAAGGCUUCGACGGGUAGCUGGUCUGAGAGGACGAUCAGCCACACUGGCACUGCGACACGGGCCAGACUCCUACGGGAGGCAGCAGUAAGGAAUAUUGCGC
RNAcentral lists this ribosomal RNA (350 nucleotides) under uncultured bacterium. Its description in RNAcentral is "bacterial SSU rRNA". It matches the Rfam family "Bacterial small subunit ribosomal RNA", at positions 29 to 369 of the family's 1533-position model. The record is from RNAcentral.